UUUUCAAGUCGAGCGAGCGGAACCAACAGAUUUACUUCGGUAAUGACGUUGGGAAAGCGAGCGGCGGAUGGGUGAGUAACACGUGGGGAACCUGCCCCUAAGUCUGGGAUACCAUUUGGAAACAGGUGCUAAUACCGGAUAAUAAAGCAGAUCGCAUGAUCAGCUUUUGAAAGGCGGCGUAAGCUGUCGCUAAGGGAUGGCCCCGCGGUGCAUUAGCUAGUUGGUAAGGUAACGGCUUACCAAGGCGACGAUGCAUAGCCGAGUUGAGAGACUGAUCGGCCACAUUGGGACUGAGACACGGCCCAAACUCCUACGGGAGGCAGCAGUAGGGAAUCUUCCACAAUGGACGCAAGUCUGAUGGAGCAACGCCGCGUGAGUGAAGAAGGUUUUCGGAUCGUAAAGCUCUGUUGUUGGUGAAGAAGGAUAGAGGUAGUAACUGGCCUUUAUUUGACGGUAAUCAACCAGAAAGUCACGGCUAACUACGUGCCAGCAGCCGCGGUAAUACGUAGGUGGCAAGCGUUGUCCGGAUUUAUUGGGCGUAAAGCGAGCGCAGGCGGAAAAAUAAGUCUAAUGUGAAAGCCCUCGGCUUAACCGAGGAACUGCAUCGGAAACUGUUUUUCUUGAGU
Molecule: ribosomal RNA, 626 nt
Filed under: Lactobacillus gallinarum
Lineage: Bacteria; Bacillati; Bacillota; Bacilli; Lactobacillales; Lactobacillaceae
Description: bacterial SSU rRNA
Rfam family: Bacterial small subunit ribosomal RNA
Source: RNAcentral